RNAcentral lists this ribosomal RNA (460 nucleotides) under uncultured bacterium. Its description in RNAcentral is "partial 16S ribosomal RNA". It matches the Rfam family "Bacterial small subunit ribosomal RNA", at positions 338 to 795 of the family's 1533-position model. The record is from RNAcentral.
CCUACGGGUGGCAGCAGUGAGGAAUAUUGGUCAAUGGGCGGAAGCCUGAACCAGCCAAGUCGCGUGAAGGAUGACGGAUCUAUGGUUUGUAAACUUCUUUUAUAUAAGAAUAAAGUGAGGAACGUGUUCCUUUUUGUAUGUACCAUAUGAAUAAGCAUCGGUUAACUCCGUGCCAGCAGCCGCGGUAAUACGGAGGAUGCAAGCGUUAUCCGGAUUUAUUGGGUUUAAAGGGUGCGUAGGUGGUUAAUUAAGUCAGCGGUGAAAGUUUGUGGCUUAACUAUAGAACUGCCGUUGAAACUGGUUGUCUUGAGAAUAGAUGCGGUAGGCGGAAUGUGUGGUGUAGCGGUGAAAUGCAUAGAUAUCAUGCAGAACUCCGAUUGCGAAGGCAGCUUACUAAUCUAUAACUGACACUGAAGCACGAAAGCGUGGGGAUCAAACAGGAUUAGAUACCCGGGUAGUC